AUUACUGUAUUUCUGGUAGACAUGAUUUCUCAGCCUCCUCUGACGUCUCCACCAUGUCAUUCUCAUAUUGCUCAUAUGUUUUACACUAAUGUAACUUCAAAAUUACAGCUACUAAAACUGACCUCUGAUUUAAACAAACGCUUGCAAAAUGUUAAAAAUAGCAGAAAGGUUUCUUCCUUCUUUCAGUCAAGACAAAGAGCUACAAGAAUGGUGAGAAGUGAAAAUGUUUCAGGUGGGGGUCAAAUGUAGAAAGUGGCUACAGGCCUGUUAUAGGAGCCCUUUUUCCUUCCCUGAUGGAGUUAAGAGUUUGUUCUGGGACUCACUGAAGAAACAUUGUUCUCUACACCCUGUUGUGCAGAGAUUUUGCUUUUGCUUUCCUCAGGGCUUUACGAUCUGUACAGCAUACAACACCCUCUAUCCUUAGAACCUCAAUUCAGAUAAAACAGGAGGGGUCCUGUAAUGACAGACAGACAUGUACUGUAACAGGUGUUGUCUUUACAGAGUAGACACCUGGACAAGUAGUAGAAUUACAAUAUGAAGAAGCACAAUCAUAAUAUAGAAAUAAAGUACAAACGUUAAGGUGUGAUAAGUUAAAUAUUAACGGAGAUUUUCUUCUGUGUGAUUCCCUAAACUUACUGAAUCUCUUAUCAUAUCUCUUUAGGUUCAGCUUUCAGCAUCAGCAUGUAACGAUGUAAUGUAAAGUAAUAACUGAAACUCAUAUACCGAGAGUACAUGUGUGAUGAUCUGUUGUUGUGGGUGUCAGUCUAAUGAAUGUUAAGAAAAACUGUAGCUCUAACAUGAAAAUGAGCUGAGCUUGAUUAAAUAUGUAUCUGACACAUUGAAAUAACAGCUGGAGCCUCCUGACUUGUACACCUUAUUGUUCACUAGAUACUGGAAGACUGACUCCUGAAACUGAUGUAAAGCUGAUGGUUUCCCCAGAGAAGACUGCAAACAAGUACUAACAAAUGAUCUUUGUUCAGUGAAGAAGAAAGCCAAGGCUGAUAAAACUAAAACCCUGGACAAGUUUUUUAGAAGGAAGGGAGAAUGGAGAACAUCUCCUCGCACAAAUAUUUCUAUCUUGACGGCUUCAACAAACUCGGAGCGCUGAGGCCCGUCCUGUUCAUCCCGUUCUCCAUCAUGUUUGUUGUAUCGCUGUCAGCAAACUCCCUGCUGAUGUACGUCGUCAUUUCACAGAGAAGCCUCCACUCACCGAUGUACAUCCUCAUCGCCUGCAUGGCAUGUGUGGACCUGAGCCUUCCGCUGUUCAUAGUCCCCAACAUGCUGCUGAGCUUCUUGUUUGACUGGAGGGGAAUCUCUCUGGCCGGCUGCCUGGUUCAGAUGUAUUUUGUUCACCUGUUAGGAGCUUUCCAGUCUACUCUGCUGCUGUGGAUGGCACUGGACCGCUACUUUGCCAUCUGCACACCACUUUACUACCAUGAACGCAUGGCGUUACUGAGAGUCCUCAAAUUUGUGAUCCCACUUGUGGUCAGAAAUGUGUUCGUGGUCUCGCUGGUAGUGACACUGGCAGGAUCAUUACCAUUCUGCUUCAAAAACACGAUAGACCACUGUUUCUGUGAGCACAUGGCCUUGGUGGAGCUGGCCUGUGGAAGUACCGCCAUCAACAGUCUGGUGGGGUUGAUCUCAGUUUUCCUCAUCCCAGUAGCUGACUUCAUCACUAUCACUGCCUCCUACAUAGUCAUAUUCAGCUCUGUGCUGAGUUCUGGCAAGUCAGGUGUCAAAGCGCUCCACACCUGCGUCACCCACAUCGUGGUCAUGACUGUCAGCCUGACCAUCGUACUCACAGCUUUCCCUGUAUCGUAUCAGGAACGGUCUCCCUGCAGCCAUUCGGGUUUUCUUCAGCAUCAUGUACUUGUUCUUUCCGAGCUGUUUCAACCCGAUCAUUUACGGCAUCAGAACCACAGAGAUACGACAGCACAUCCUGAAGACACUGACGUGUUGUCGUCAACUUGUCCAAACGGUUCCCCAUUCUUAAGAGAGUGUUAAAAAAUAUUUUAUAUGAAGUAUCUCUACUCUAUAAAAGCUCAUUUAUGCCAGGACAAGAAAGAAGAUGGUGAGAAGUUAGGAAUCACAAAAAUAGAAUUGGUCAAGAUUAGGAUAAACUAAUUAACAUAGUCAAAAUUAUGAGAUUUUGACCUACUACCUUUGACUUCACAUCAAACGUGACUUAUUUUAUAAUUGUGAUCCUGAGGUGGGUACACUCAUCAGUGAUACCUGGGCUCAUCGAGUGUUUCAGAUCUUUUAAAACGCCCUUGCCCAAAUAACUCAGGUUUAUCAGACCUCAACUUGUGCCCCAGUUAAUCCAGAGGCAUCUGGACGCUCUUUCAGCGGCUUCCGAUGUUUCCUGGUGACUCUCAUCUCUGCUGCCAUCCUGAUGCCCAGCAUCUUGAAUGCUCCAGUGGCCAGCAAGCUCUCCAUCCCUGCCUCUGACACUGCUCUCUCAGCUCCUGACAUUCUGCUGUGCAUACGUACCAUCCUGGUGGUCUGUACCUAAUUGAUACCUGCCUGUACCUCCUCCUGGACUACAUGCCAUCUGUCCCUGACAUGAGCCUUGUCAUAAUUUAGGAACUCCCCCCUUCUAUGCCUGCAGCCAACACUUCAGGGGUCAGUGAAGUACCAGUACUGCAAAAACUCUCUUUCUCUCAUUUGGGAGACCAUGAAUUCUUCGAUCAGGCUGCUAAUGUGAAGCUGCAACAUGUUCUUUCCAGAGAGACCUAUGCUGCUUAUGCUGCUACGAGGGAGAACCGGCCACCUGAAUCAGUAGCUGCUGAUCUUCCUCUCCACCAACUCUACACUUGUCGGUUGGCCUAGUGGUUGAGACACAAACCAUAAAACCACAACAUUCCCGGUUUGAUUUUGGCUUAGGAUCUGUGAAUGUCAUCCCUUCUCUCUCUCCACAUCUGUCCCAUCUUUAUAUCUAUUGUCAUUAUCAAGUAAAGGCAAAGUUGCAAAUAAAAAAACUCAACUGUGGUACCUGGUAAACUAGAAGAGGCCAGGGGACACGAGGAAGAAUGCCAUGUUGCCAUAUCCAAGGCUGGGCAUCAGCCACGUUGUCACAACUUUGAAAAUGUAUAUAAAUGAACACAACACAGAACAGUGUAUCAAAAAUCCAAAUAAAACCUCUAUCCAGCUAGAUCCAGAUUUCUCAUGUGUGACAUUUGUUGAAGAUCAGUUUAAAUUUGAAGGCUGUGAAAAUCUUUAUAUAAUUUGUACAUAAUUAAAAAUGGCCAGAAAUCUUUUUGGCAAAAUCUGGCACGACCCAAACAGAAAGAUGUGUUGUGAUCCAAGAAAUCUGGGAAAACAAAAUUUGGCUGCUAGCCUGUGGCUAACACCCUGGGUGCUAACUGACCAUAGCAACAACAACCUAUAACUCCAGGUCCUACAGCCACAAUAAUGCAAUUCUAUUAAUUUAAGGGAAAUAAUUGAAUAGUUUGAGGGAUUGAUUUAUUUAUUUUAGGGUUUGAAUUAUGAAUGUGUGGGAACAAAUUACAAAUCUGUACACAUAAAUUAUCAACAGGUUUAACCUUCAUACCUGCCAGUCUCCAGAAUGUUGGAUUUUUCAUGAAGCACUUUUUAACUUUGGUUUUAAGAAGUGAACUACAAACAAAGUUUUCCAAACUUAGUGUCUUAUUUUGGCUGUGAUGCUGCUGCUCCCUGGGAUUUUCAGUCGGUCACACUGACAACAUGACGAGGUGUUGGACUUUGUCUCUGCAGCCAAUGGCAGCGUCAGACAGAGGGUAUUAAAGUGCUGAGUCAGCGGUUCAGCGGGGACAGGUGGAUGUGGGGACAGAUGUGGGGAUAGAUGAAGGAGAGUCAGCAGAUGACAUUAGCCUGCAGACGGACACGUUUACUGAAGAACUCCCAAACACCAACAACAAGUAAAACCUGCUGAUUUCGUUUCUGCAGAGCUGAACUGUCAGCAGCUCUUCAGGUUGAACUCUUCAUCUUCAAGUUCUGAAAUCUGAUUUUCUUCAAACCAACAAAACAAUCAGAGAUACUGACAUCUCUGGAAAACUCCUAAAACAAGGGAACGUGAACUGGGAACAAGUGGGAUUAUUUCACUCCAUUGGCUAAAUCUUUUGAUUUCAGUGCGUUUUCAGUUUUCUUUUCGACUGGAAACCAAACACCCUGAAGAGAGAUGAGCCACCUCCGCUCUUUGUGAGGUUUGUUUGCGAUAAUAAUUCAUACUAUUGAUGAAUUGUUGUUUUUCCCCUGACAGAUAUUUGCUGUGGAGACAUGUCAAAGUUUCCAUGCAGAUGUACAUACUGGUAAAUGUUAUUACUGUAUUUCUGGUAGACAUGAUUUCUCAGCCUCCUCUGACGUCUCCACCGUGUCAUUCUCAUAUUGCUCAUAUGUUUUACACUAAUGUAACUUCAAAAUUACAGCUACUAAAACUGACCUCUGAUUUAAACAAACGCUUGCAAAAUGUUAAAAAUAGCAGAAAGGUUUCUUCCUUCUUUCAGUCAAGACAAAGAGCUACAGGAAUGGUGAGAAGUGAAAAUGUUUCAGGUGGGGGUCAAAUGUAGAAAGUGGCUACAGGCCUGUUAUAGGAGCCCUUUUUCCUUCCCUGAUGGAGUUAAGAGUUUGUUCUGGGACUCACUGAAGAAACAUUGUUCUCUACACCCUGUUGUGCAGAGAUUUUGCUUUUGCUUUCCUCAGGGCUUUACGAUCUGUACAGCAUACAACACCCUCUAUCCUUAGAACCUCAAUUCAGAUAAAACAGGAGGGGUCCUGUAAUGACAGACAGACAUGUACUGUAACAGGUGUUGUCUUUACAGAGUAGACACCUGGACAAGUAGUAGAAUUACAAUAUGAAGAAGCACAAUCAUAAUAUAGAAAUAUAGUACAAACGUUUAAGUGUGAUAAGUUAUAUAUUAAUGGAGAUUUUCUGCUGUGUGAUUCCCUAAACUUACUGAAUCUCUUAUCAUAUCUCUUUAGGUUCAGCUUUCAGCAUCAGCAUGUAACGAUGUAAUGUAAAGUAAUAACUGAAACUCAUAUACCGAGAGUACAUGUGUGAUGAUCUGUUGUUGUGGGUGUCAGUCUAAUGAAUGUUAAGAAAAACUGUAGCUCUAACAUGAAAAUGAGCUGAGCUUGAUUAAAUCUGACACAUUGAAAUAACAGCUGGAGCCUCCUGACUUGUACACCUUAUUGUUCACUAGAUACUGGAAGACUGACUCCUGAAACUGAUGUAAAGCUGAUGGUUUCCCCAGAGAAGACUGCAAACAAGUACUAACAAAUGAUCUUUGUUCAGUGAAGAAGAAAGCCAAGGAGACCAGAGUUCAUGUCCUGUUAUACACCUGCAAUUACCAUUGUCAUUCCCACCAUCAUCUCUCCCGAACCUUAACCAGGUGUGCAGAUUUUGUAGAAAAGUGAGAAUUUAAAAAAAGUUGGCAUUGAACAUAAUCUGGGGUUUUGCAGAAUUGUCCAAUAUCAAUGUUCUGUCUGGUCAUAGAGUUGUAUUUUUUCUUUCAAUCAGUGAAAGCGACGGUCAGCGAUGGCUAAAAAUGAAAAGCCUUUAAUAUUACAUAAAUGUUUUGUACAUUUCACUUUGCUGCUAAAAAUAAAUAUAUUAAUAUUUGGAUUACAGAUUGUGCAUUUAAGAAUGAAAUUGUAGUGUGGGUCGCCACAGCAAGCACAAUAACUUCUAAAGGGGUUUUGUGCAACUUGAACGCACCUUACGGAAAUAUAAUUUGCUGCUGUGGCAAAGUGAAUUAACCAUUCAAAUCUUUGUCUCUG
Molecule: RNA transcript, 5754 nt
Organism: Siniperca chuatsi (mandarin fish)
Lineage: Eukaryota; Metazoa; Chordata; Actinopteri; Centrarchiformes; Sinipercidae
Gene name: olfactory receptor 52N2-like
Exons: 4
Source: RefSeq, a predicted model, not a curated record